RNAcentral lists this long non-coding RNA (238 nucleotides) under Gossypium barbadense (sea-island cotton). RNAcentral's name for it is "long non-coding RNA (GBAR_LNC006142)". Lineage: Eukaryota; Viridiplantae; Streptophyta; Magnoliopsida; Malvales; Malvaceae. The record is from RNAcentral.
AAAUGUCAGAAGAUGGAAUAUCAUCAAAAGAUUUGCAUAAACAGCUUUCAACAAAAAAGGUGUUGCACAACUAGCUGAUCAGGAAGAGGAGGAGCAACUAUUUGUAGCAACCUAUUUUGCAACUAGCAACUCUAGUGACAAGUUGCUUCUUGAUAAUGGAUGCAUAAACUACAUGACAUUUGAUUAUGAUAUCUUUAGAGAGCUAGAUACUUCUUUAAAUUCUAAGGUACAAAUUGGC